GCUCCCGUAGUUCAAUGGAUAGAACAGUCCCGUCCUAAGGGAUAGAUGUAGGUUCGAUUCCUGCCAGGAGCA
RNAcentral lists this transfer RNA (72 nucleotides) under Minisyncoccota bacterium. RNAcentral's name for it is "tRNA-Arg". It matches the Rfam family "tRNA". Rfam says of the family: Transfer RNA (tRNA) molecules are approximately 80 nucleotides in length. Lineage: Bacteria; Bacillati; Minisyncoccota. The record is from RNAcentral.